AUUGAACGCUGGCGGCAGGCCUAACACAUGCAAGUCGAGCGGAUGAAGGGAGCUUGCUCCUGGAUUCAGCGGCGGACGGGUGAGUAAUGCCUAGGAAUCUGCCUGGUAGUGGGGGAUAACGUCCGGAAACGGGCGCUAAUACCGCAUACGUCCUGAGGGAGAAAGUGGGGGAUCUUCGGACCUCACGCUAUCAGAUAAGCCUAGGUCGGAUUAGCUAGUUGGUGGGGUAAAGGCCUACCAAGGCGACGAUCCGUAACUGGUCUGAGAGGAUGAUCAGUCACACUGGAACUGAGACACGGUCCAGACUCCUACGGGAGGCAGCAGUAGGGAAUAUUGGACAAUGGGCGAAAGCCUGAUCCAGCCAUGCCGCGUGUGUGAAGAAGGUCUUCGGAUUGUAAAGCACUUUAAGUUGGGAGGAAGGGCAGUAAGUUAAUACCUUGCUGUUUUGACGUUACCAACAGAAUAAGCACCGGCUAACUUCGUG
Molecule: ribosomal RNA, 484 nt
Filed under: uncultured bacterium
Lineage: Bacteria
Description: partial 16S ribosomal RNA
Rfam family: Bacterial small subunit ribosomal RNA
Source: RNAcentral